Molecule: long non-coding RNA, 1056 nt
Organism: Cercocebus atys (sooty mangabey)
Lineage: Eukaryota; Metazoa; Chordata; Mammalia; Primates; Cercopithecidae
Exons: 4
Source: RefSeq, a predicted model, not a curated record
GUAUAUUUUUAUUCACACAUUUUUUUAAUAGAGAAGAAAAUAUGCUCACAUAUACAAACAGUAAAUCAGAAACAUUUUCAAUGGGAAAAAUCCUGAGAAUCCUAAAGUGUUCAAGAUAACAGAUUAUUUAAAGGAUUUUAUAUAACUUAUAAAAAGCAUCUCUUUUGAAUGCUAAUUUGAAUAUUUGAGAAACAACUGAUUGAGUUUAAGAUUUCAGGGAAUACAGCAAAUCUAAACAAUCAGUUUUGAUUUUGCUGUUAUUAACACUACUAACCAAUAGAACCAAAAUUAGAAAAUUACAACAGCGAAAACAGUGUAGUAUUCCAUUCUAGUGAUUAAGGUCAAUAGUGAUGUCAUAUUGAUAGUAUGUUCCUUCAUAGGAUAUAAUGAAAAUGAGACAAACCUCUGUGGUCUUUCUCUCCAAAACAGGUAUGUUUGUCUAAUUGUGAGGAAAACACUCAAAACCAAAAUAAAUAAAUAAAUAAAAUCCAGAUAAAGAAGCAGGCAAAGCCCACAUGAGGGACAUUCUACAAAAUAUCUGACUAGUACCUAUCUCUUCAAAAUUGUCAAGGUCACCAAAACCAAGGAAGUCUGAGAAGCUGUAACAGACACGAAGAACCUGAGGAGACAUGAUGACUAAAUGCAAUGUAGUGCCCUAAAUGAGAUCCUGGAAGAGAAAAAGGACAUGAAAUUAAAAACUACGGAACUCUGAAUAAAGUUUUGGAGACCUAACACUGAACAAUAUAGGCUAGGCCACUUGCUCUCAUGGAACUUAUAUUCUUGCUCAUGGAUAUGGACAAUAAUUAUACAAACAACUGAAGGAAUAUUAUAGAUUCUGAUGGUAAUUACCUUAGUAAAAUCAAUAAGAGACAAACCGAAGUUGUGUAUAUCAUGCUGAUUCAGAAGAGAAUGAAGGCAUUUGUCAAGAGAUAAUGUCAGACUAAACAGACGUGUUCCAAUCGAUUAAUGCAUUUGGAGGAUUUCCAAAUAUUUGCUGAUCUGAGGAGGGUGAGGCUCACCCAGGGCACCUUCCAGUCCUGCAAGCUCCAUUCAUGG